UAGGGAAUCUUCCGCAAUGGGCGAAAGCCUGACGGAGCAACGCCGCGUGAGUGAUGAAGGUCUUCGGAUCGUAAAACUCUGUUAUUAGGGAAGAACAAAUGUGUAAGUAACUAUGCACGUCUUGACGGUACCUAAUCAGAAAGCCACGGCUAACUACGUGCCAGCAGCCGCGGUAAUACGUAGGUGGCAAGCGUUAUCCGGAAUUAUUGGGCGUAAAGCGCGCGUAGGCGGUUUUUUAAGUCUGAUGUGAAAGCCCACGGCUCAACCGUGGGGGGUCAUUGGAAGCUGGAAAACUUGAGUGCAGAAGAGGAAAGUGGAAUUCCAUGUGUAGCGGUGAAAUGCGCAGAGAUAUGGAGGAACACCAGUGGCGAAGGAGACUUUCUGGUCUGUAACUGACGCUGAUGUGCGAAAGCGUGGGGAUCAAACAGG
Molecule: ribosomal RNA, 429 nt
Filed under: Actinomycetes bacterium
Lineage: Bacteria; Bacillati; Actinomycetota; Actinomycetes
Description: Actinobacteria bacterium partial 16S ribosomal RNA
Rfam family: Bacterial small subunit ribosomal RNA
Source: RNAcentral